This 409-nucleotide ribosomal RNA is filed under the name Klebsiella pneumoniae. RNAcentral's name for it is "partial 23S ribosomal RNA". It matches the Rfam family "Bacterial large subunit ribosomal RNA", at positions 2393 to 2801 of the family's 2925-position model. The record is from RNAcentral. Lineage: Bacteria; Pseudomonadati; Pseudomonadota; Gammaproteobacteria; Enterobacterales; Enterobacteriaceae. RNAcentral also lists the same sequence under 1 other name.
GCAGGUGCGAAAGCAGGUCAUAGUGAUCCGGUGGUUCUGAAUGGAAGGGCCAUCGCUCAACGGAUAAAAGGUACUCCGGGGAUAACAGGCUGAUACCGCCCAAGAGUUCAUAUCGACGGCGGUGUUUGGCACCUCGAUGUCGGCUCAUCACAUCCUGGGGCUGAAGUAGGUCCCAAGGGUAUGGCUGUUCGCCAUUUAAAGUGGUACGCGAGCUGGGUUUAGAACGUCGUGAGACAGUUCGGUCCCUAUCUGCCGUGGGCGCUGGAGAAUUGAGGGGGGCUGCUCCUAGUACGAGAGGACCGGAGUGGACGCAUCACUGGUGUUCGGGUUGUCAUGCCAAUGGCACUGCCCGGUAGCUAAAUGCGGAAGAGAUAAGUGCUGAAAGCAUCUAAGCACGAAACUUGCCCCG